Molecule: long non-coding RNA, 160 nt
Organism: Telopea speciosissima
Lineage: Eukaryota; Viridiplantae; Streptophyta; Magnoliopsida; Proteales; Proteaceae
Exons: 2
Source: RefSeq, a predicted model, not a curated record
CCAAUCCACUACUCUUGUUCACCACAUCAGACCGAAUAUCCAUAAUUAUGCGAGGUUUGGUUCUGGUCUUAUUGAUGAAAAUCCUGGAGUUUCUCUUUUGCCAAAUGUGAGCAAUGGUAGCACCAAAAGUCAUCUUAGCUAUUGCACCAAUAGAGUCCCC